AGUUAAACAGUACGUGAAAUUGUUGAAAGGGAAACGAUUAAAGUCAGUCGUACCUACGAGUAAUCAACCUACACGAGCGCGAUUUUGUGGGUAUGAAGAGGUAAAAACCUUCAUGCUUACUAAUUGGUGUUCUUUGGGCGUACUUUCUCGUAUGGUUGGUUAACAUCAAUUUCGAUCGUUAUAAAAUGACGGGAGGAAUGUAGCUUCGACUUCGGUUGAAGUGUUAUAGCCUCUGGUAGAUGUAAUGAUUGGGAUUGAGGAUUGCAACGGAUACCCUCUGGGCUAUUCGUCUGAUCUCUGGAAGUUACCUUGGUGUCGAAAGCGUGCUUAUGACAUUAAGAAUGACGGCCAAAAGGUUAGAACGGAAUUAAAUUCGUUAAGGAUGUUGACGUAAUGGCUUUAAA
This 404-nucleotide unclassified non-coding RNA is filed under the name uncultured Rhizophagus. RNAcentral's name for it is "sequence contains 28S rRNA gene". Lineage: Eukaryota; Fungi; Glomeromycota; Glomeromycetes; Glomerales; Glomeraceae. The record is from RNAcentral.